AUCACGACGCCGAGUUGGCCGCCGCCGGCGCCGCCGGCGCUGUCCCGCCAAUCAUGCCACCGCCACCAGCGUGCGUCUCCUCGUGCGCCUCAUCUCCCGCCGCCCUCCUCUCCCAGGAGUCCGGCCGUAGCAUCUACGGGCACCUCAUCUCGUCACUGCGUUCACCCUCCCCAGCUCCCCCCUUUCCCUACCAGGCUACCACCUCCAGCUGCGACGGCCCGCGCCGCGUUCAACGUCCCCGCGCCAGAGACCUGAGGUCGAAAACCGAGUCAAUCCCCAACCCGGCGCGUCGCCGCGAGCUGCCCCGACGGAGCUCCAUCUGAUGUUUUGUUGCACAGUACGUACAGUAGUUGUUAAGUUGUGAACCCUUGCUUGUUGACUGUGGCUGUACUUGUGAACCCUUGCUUGACGGCAAGGAUGCUGGAUGGUGAAAUCUGAAUAUCUCUGGCAGUAAAUUUGACUGGUUGCCGUGCAAGUCCUAGUCCCCGGAUCCACAAGGCGCAGAUUUUCUUCAUGACGACAGUGACCGACGCCCCACGAUGGCUGCAAAUCGGGACAGGUGACAUCCGAGUUUCUCUGUGCUUGAUUCAGUCAGGCAACACCGCCCCGGAUGUAGCCUCUGAGAUAUUUCUAGUUUCUUGAUCUUCAAUGCACCGCGGAGACCUCGCGGUCUUGUGUACACACUUGCCUUUCCUAUUGAUCAAGGCUGGACUUUGUGUGGCCAACCGGAUAUAUAAAGCCUGUGCAAAUGUGAGAAGCCACAUCAGGAAUACCAAUACUCUGAGCAGUACUUCAGCUCCUACCUUGUACAUUUGUAGCCUCCAAGCAAACAGUCUGAAGCAUCUUCAUAGUUCAUACUAUAUCUCCUUACUUUCCUCUUCACAAGCAUAUGCACAAGGCCUAAUGGGCCCUGUUUUUGUCCUCCUGUUACUGAUUUGUGUCUGCAACUCCGAGGAUCGCCUAACACCUGCAAAGCCACACUCCGUCGGCGACAGGCUCAUCUCAAAUGGUGGCAUCUUUGCUCUUGGCUUCUUCUCCCCGAAAAACUCAAGUGCAAACUCAUAUGUUGGCAUAUGGUACCACAACAUCCCCGAGCGAACAUAUGUGUGGGUCGCAAACCGCGACAGCCCAAUCACUGGCAGCUCCCCUGGUAAGUUUGUUCUGACCACCAGCUCUGAUCUUGUCUUGUUAGACUCCAAAGGAAGCACUCUUUGGACAACCAUGAACAACAUCACCACUGAAGCCACCGGAGCUGCUGCGAUACUGCUGGACUCUGGGAACUUGGUCAUCAGGUUGCCGAAUGGCACAGAUAUAUGGCAGAGCUUCCAUCACCCAACCGAUACCAUUCUCCCGAAUAUGAGUUUGCAGCUGAGCAACAACAACAACCUCUCCACGCACCUCGUUGCUUGGAGGGCCCCUGAUGACCCAUCUACGAGUGAUUACUCCUUGGGUGGUGACUCGAGCUUCCAGAUCCUCGUUUGGAAUAGGACGAUGCCAUACUGGCGCAGGGCUGCGCUCGAUGGUGUAUUGGUCUUCGCCAUGUAUCAGAGCAAAUCAGGUCCCAUCAUGUCCCAAACAAUUGUCAACAGAGGUGGUGAGUUCUACUUGACGUACACCGUCUCUGAUGGCUCAGCAAGCAUGCGUAUGAUUCUGCACUACACGGGCAUGGUGAAACUCCUGGCAUGGAACAGCAACUCAUUAUCUUGGGAUGUUUUCUUUGAGCGCCCUGGUUCUAGCUGUGACCGCUAUGCCUCUUGUGGCCCGUUUGGCUACUGUGAUGCCACAGAGGCGGUUGCGACAUGCAAGUGCCUUGAUGGAUUUGAAUCUGUUGGUCUUGACUUUUCCCUAGGAUGCCAGAGAAAGAAGGAGAUACGUUGUGGUCAAGGAGAUAGUUUCAUUACCUUGCUUAACAUGAAGACGCCUGACAAGUUCUUGUACAUCAGGAAUAGAAGCUUUGACCAAUGCGCAGAAGAAUGCAGCCGCAACUGCUCAUGCACCGCAUAUGCUUAUGCUAACCUGAGUAAUCUCGGUGUGACUGUAGACCAGUCGAGGUGCUUAGUUUGGAUGGGAGAGCUUGUUGACACAGAGAAGCGUGGUGAUGGUCUUGGAGAGAAUUUGUACCUCCGGAUUCCCAGCUCGUCUGUCAAUAAGAAGACUGGUGCACUGAAGAUUGCACUCCCAGUCAUGGCAAGUCUACUGAUAAUUAUGUGCAUUUGUCUUGUCUGGAUACGCAAGUCGAGAGGCAAGGACCAAACCAAGGCACCCAUGAAUUAUGCGGUGCCAGAACAACUGGGCAAUUCUGAUGUACUAUACGAUCAAAAUUCAGAAUUUCUGUGGAUUAGCUUCAAUGACAUCAUUGCUGCUACAGAUGGUUUCUCUGACUCUAAUGUGCUUGGAAAAGGAGGCUUUGGCAUAGUAUACAAGGGCACACUGGAAGGUGGCAAGGAAGUUGCUGUUAAAAGGCUUACCAAGUGUUCUGAUCAAGGAAUGGAGCAUUUUAGAAACGAAGUAGUUCUUAUUGCAAAACUGCAGCACAGAAACUUAGUUAGACUUCUUGGUUACUGCAUCCAUGGAGCUGAGAAGCUUCUUAUUUACGAAUACUUACCCAACAAAAGCUUAGACUACUCCCUAUUUGAUGAUGCUAAAAGAUCUAUGCUUGAUUGGCCAACAAGGUUUAGCAUAAUCAAAGGGAUAGCUAGAGGACUUGUGUACCUCCACCAUGAUUCGAGAAUGACGAUAAUUCACAGAGAUCUGAAAGCAAGCAACAUCUUGUUGGAUGAGGAGAUGAGACCCAAAAUAUCAGAUUUUGGCAUGGCAAGGAUCUUUGGUGACAACCAGCAACAAGCAGAUACUAGACAUGUUGUUGGAACAUACGGUUACAUGUCGCCCGAAUAUGCGAUGGAAGGCAUUUUCUCUGUCAAGUCCGACACAUACAGCUAUGGGGUCUUGCUACUGGAGAUUGUAAGUGGGUUGAAGGUCAACUCACCUCCCCAGCUUAUGAGGGACUUUCCAAACCUCGUAGAUUACGCAUGGAACUUACUGGAAGAAGGAAAAUCAGGGGAUUUCAUGGACACGGUGCUUCUGAAGAGUUGUUCACUGCAUCAAGUGUCGUUGUGCAUCCACAUAGCAUUGUUGUGCGUUCAGGACAGCCCGGGUGCCAGGCCACUCAUGUCGCUAGUCGUGUCUAUGCUGGACAACGAGGCCAUGCCAGUCACGACUCCAAAGCAACCUCUGUAUUUCAUUGGAAGGAGACAUGAAGCAGAAGAAGCGACGGAGGACUCUGUUAACAGCGCGGGCCUGACAUCGCUAGUAGGACGCUAGAUGCCUAGAAUCCGCUAUGCUUGUCUGCAGUGUGGUGACCUGAGCGCCCUGGAACAUCAAAGGAAGCAGAUUACCAUUGACUGCCAAGUGGAUUUCAGUAACCAGCUGCAGGUGGUGCUCCAACGGUCCGUUUGAAAUUACUGGUGUGGUAGCUUUGAGUCUUUGACUGAUAAACUUGUUAGGCGCUCAAAUGCAACUGAAGCUGGACCGUCAGCUUGUUUAGAAGGACUCAUCAGGCUUGGUGCUUCAGUGGCAGAGUGAUCGUUCUGCUGAUGUCCAAGCCAUUCUCUUGCACGCUGAAAAUCCAUCAAAAAAAGGUCAAAAGGGAGGGAAAGGAGGUCGCGCAUUUGUUAGCGCAACCGUGUAGUGAUCCGAAUAUAUGCCGUACGAAAAAUAUUUCAUGAUGAAUCUGACGGUAUUGAUUUGGUAUUGUAAAUGCUGAUAUUUUUACUGUAAACUUGGUCAAUGUUGACAAAGUUUGGCUUUGAAGAAAAAGCUUACGUGCAACUAUAAUUUGGCAAAGAGGGUGUAGAGAAGAGUUUUUUUGUUCGGGGUGAGUGAGAAUAGUUGAGUACGGGGGGUCAUGCAUAUGACUGCUCCAUCCUGCGUGUCAGAACUAAUCACUGUUGCUCUUUUUUCCUUUUCCUUUUUUACUCUGGCCAUCCAUGAUUUUGCUUUUUGUAGGUGUGAUCCUUUGUGUGCGUUGAUUGACUGUGUGCAUCCUAUCAUAUAGAAGUCGGGUGUACGCUUAUAUUGUGUUUGUAUCAACUAUUGCC
Molecule: ribosomal RNA, 4097 nt
Filed under: Triticum aestivum (bread wheat)
Lineage: Eukaryota; Viridiplantae; Streptophyta; Magnoliopsida; Poales; Poaceae
Description: partial small subunit ribosomal RNA
Source: RNAcentral